GCUCAGUGGUCGAGUGCCCCUGAGUUCAGAUCUCUAUACUGCCCCUGCCCCACCCCACCCCCCGCCAAAAAAUACUGAACAAGUGCAUGAAGAAUGAGCCAACUUGGGCCUUUUGCUCAAAGUCUCUCCCUGCUCUCUCACUCUGUUAUCCUCCAACAGGAGGAUAACAACAAACAUGUUGGAGGUCUAUUCCUCUAAAACCUUUGAUCUCCAAGGACAUUCAAGACUGUGGAGUUUUCUGGAAACACUGGAACAUCCCGUACAAUGAGUGCAAAUGCAAACAGGUGAAAAUUCACUUGCUGACUCCCAAUGGUCAGACAGGAAGGGAACCCAGCAGAUCCUACAGUGGACCCCUCAGGAGAACUCUUUGUAUCGGCCCCUCGGAUUUUGAUUAUCUUUCUUGAGGCUUGAGUUUCACAUUUUGAUAGGUAAUGAAUUUGACGAGUCAAAGAUAUCAAGAUAAUAAGUUUGCAGGCCUAAUUUGGUUAAUUGCCACGUUGCUGCUGAUAGAGGCCAGGCCUAGAAGUCAAAGCUAUUUCCUCUGCUAAUCUGCUC
RNAcentral lists this long non-coding RNA (555 nucleotides) under Marmota monax (woodchuck). The record is from RNAcentral. Lineage: Eukaryota; Metazoa; Chordata; Mammalia; Rodentia; Sciuridae.